UGCGUAGGUGGCGUCGUAAGUCGGGUGUGAAACCUCGGGGCUUAACUCCGAAACUGCAUUCGAUACUGCGGUGCUUGAGGACUGGAGAGGAGACUGGAAUUUACGGUGUAGCAGUGAAAUGCGUAGAGAUCGUAAGGAAGACCAGUGGCGAAGGCGGGUCUCUGGACAGUUCCUGACACUGAGGCACGAAGGCCAGGGAGGCAAACG
This 207-nucleotide ribosomal RNA is filed under the name uncultured bacterium. RNAcentral's name for it is "partial 16S ribosomal RNA". It matches the Rfam family "Bacterial small subunit ribosomal RNA", at positions 568 to 774 of the family's 1533-position model. The record is from RNAcentral.